AAGCCCCGGCGAGUAUCAUCUCGCUUCUCGAGAUUUGCAAUCUUGUAUGUUCUACACCACGAGGCU
This 66-nucleotide transfer RNA is filed under the name Alytes muletensis (Mallorcan midwife toad). RNAcentral's name for it is "tRNA-Cys". Lineage: Eukaryota; Metazoa; Chordata; Amphibia; Anura; Alytidae. The record is from RNAcentral.